AAAUUGAAGAGUUUGAUCAUGGCUCAGAUUGAACGCUGGCGGCAGGCCUAACACAUGCAAGUCGAGCGGUAGCACAGAAGAGCUUGCUCUUCGGGUGACGAGCGGCGGACGGGUGAGUAAUGUCUGGGAAACUGCCUGAUGGAGGGGGAUAACUACUGGAAACGGUAGCUAAUACCGCAUAACGUCUUCGGACCAAAGAGGGGGACCUUCGGGCCUCUUGCCAUCGGAUGUGCCCAGAUGGGAUUAGCUAGUAGGUGAGGUAAUGGCUCACCUAGGCGACGAUCCCUAGCUGGUCUGAGAGGAUGACCAGCCACACUGGAACUGAGACACGGUCCAGACUCCUACGGGAGGCAGCAGUGGGGAAUAUUGCACAAUGGGCGCAAGCCUGAUGCAGCCAUGCCGCGUGUGUGAAGAAGGCCUUCGGGUUGUAAAGCACUUUCAGCGGGGAGGAAGGCGAUAAGGUUAAUAACCUUGUCGAUUGACGUUACCCGCAGAAGAAGCACCGGCUAACUCCGUGCCAGCAGCCGCGGUAAUACGGAGGGUGCAAGCGUUAAUCGGAAUGACUGGGCGUAAAGCGCACGCAGGCGGUCUGUUAAGUUGGAUGUGAAAUCCCCGGGCUUAACCUGGGAACUGCAUUCAAAACUGACAGGCUAGAGUCUUGUAGAGGGGGGUAGAAUUCCAGGUGUAGCGGUGAAAUGCGUAGAGAUCUGGAGGAAUACCGGUGGCGAAGGCGGCCCCCUGGACAAAGACUGACGCUCAGGUGCGAAAGCGUGGGGAGCAAACAGGAUUAGAUACCCUGGUAGUCCACGCUGUAAACGAUGUCGACUUGGAGGUUGUGCCCUUGAGGCGUGGCUUCCGGAGCUAACGCGUUAAGUCGACCGCCUGGGGAGUACGGCCGCAAGGUUAAAACUCAAAUGAAUUGACGGGGGCCCGCACAAGCGGUGGAGCAUGUGGUUUAAUUCGAUGCAACGCGAAGAACCUUACCUACUCUUGACAUCCACAGAAUUUGGUAGAGAUACCUUAGUGCCUUCGGGAACUGUGAGACAGGUGCUGCAUGGCUGUCGUCAGCUCGUGUUGUGAAAUGUUGGGUUAAGUCCCGCAACGAGCGCAACCCUUAUCCUUUGUUGCCAGCGAGUAAUGUCGGGAACUCAAAGGAGACUGCCGGUGAUAAACCGGAGGAAGGUGGGGAUGACGUCAAGUCAUCAUGGCCCUUACGAGUAGGGCUACACACGUGCUACAAUGGCGUAUACAAAGAGAAGCGACCUCGCGAGAGCAAGCGGACCUCAUAAAGUACGUCGUAGUCCGGAUUGGAGUCUGCAACUCGACUCCAUGAAGUCGGAAUCGCUAGUAAUCGUAGAUCAGAAUGCUACGGUGAAUACGUUCCCGGGCCUUGUACACACCGCCCGUCACACCAUGGGAGUGGGUUGCAAAAGAAGUAGGUAGCUUAACCUUCGGGAGGGCGCUUACCACUUUGUGAUUCAUGACUGGGGUGAAGUCGUAACAAGGUAACCGUAGGGGAACCUGCGGUUGGAUCACCUCCUUA
RNAcentral lists this ribosomal RNA (1543 nucleotides) under Pectobacterium parmentieri WPP163. RNAcentral's name for it is "Pectobacterium wasabiae WPP163 16S ribosomal RNA". It matches the Rfam family "Bacterial small subunit ribosomal RNA". Lineage: Bacteria; Pseudomonadati; Pseudomonadota; Gammaproteobacteria; Enterobacterales; Pectobacteriaceae. RNAcentral also lists the same sequence under 1 other name. The record is from RNAcentral.